Molecule: transfer RNA, 75 nt
Filed under: Bacillota bacterium
Lineage: Bacteria; Bacillati; Bacillota
Description: Firmicutes bacterium (anaerobic digester metagenome) tRNA-Thr
Rfam family: tRNA
About the family: Transfer RNA (tRNA) molecules are approximately 80 nucleotides in length. Their secondary structure includes four short double-helical elements and three loops (D, anti-codon, and T loops).
Source: RNAcentral
GCCGACGUAGCUCAACGGUAGAGCAGCUGAUUUGUAAUCAGCAGGUUGGGGGUUCGAGUCCCUUCGUCGGCUCCA